This 465-nucleotide long non-coding RNA is filed under the name Triticum aestivum (bread wheat). RNAcentral describes it as "long non-coding RNA (TAES_LNC005965)". Lineage: Eukaryota; Viridiplantae; Streptophyta; Magnoliopsida; Poales; Poaceae. The record is from RNAcentral.
UUUAGUCCAAAAUAUCGACUCCAUGCAGCCGUUUCAAAAUUAUAUUUGUCAUAAACCGGAGGACAAUAUACAGUUGGAUAUAUACUUGCCGAAUAAGACCAUGCUGGGACGAAUUCCCUCAAUGUUAUGUACAUAACGAAAUGAAUAUUUGGUAUCUACCUAUCAAAGAAUUACUGUACUACUUAUCUCGUUACUCGAAAUCGAAAGAACAGGAAAUUAGGCCUCUACUCUACCAAGUCUACCACCCAAGGGCUUCACUUCAGAAUGUCCGUGUUGAGUCAGACACUUGGACGAUCGGUGGUUGGUUCAGACGACUCAAGCAAGGCUUCCCCUUGCUGUCGGUGUCCACCAGUAUCGUGUCGCCAGGCUUGUACUCGCCGAAAAGGAUCGCUUCGCUGAUGACAUCCUCCAUCAGUUGGGUGAUGGCUCUCCUCAGCGGCCGCGCGCCGUAGUUCUUGUCGUAGC